AUUCUGAAGAAGGCCUUCUUGGUAAAAACCCAUCUGUGACUUUUUCUCCUGGCUAAUCUUUCUUUCCUUUCCCGAAUUCUAAACCCAGCCGUCCAUUAGGAGAUGAUCCAUUCCUUAGUGUCACCGUUUUGUCAAGAGCUACUUAGAGAUCACUUGUUCCUUUCACCAGGCUUCAUUGUAAAACAAGUGUGCAGCUUUGACUUAAGGCUCCCUUCGGCACCACUCAGUUGAAGUAUCUCUAAGGAGGCUUAAUCCUUUGGUGCCUCUCUUCUUCUUUUCCUGUCUUCCACAGGGCUCGGGAGAGAGUUACCUGGAGAGAACAGAGCGCUUAUAUCUGCAGAUGUGCUCAACGAGAGAAAAGAAUUUGAUGGACGACCAAGAGCAACUGAAAAUCCAGGUGACAGAACUGGAGGAGGAAGUCAACACCCUGAUGAAGAUCAACAAGAGUCUUUUCGACUUCUCCAGCUCUAUCAUCACCUCCACCAAAUAGAGCAGCUUCUGAAGCCUGGUUAGAGAUGGAAGGAGAGACAAGCCAGUCGGGGUUCAUGUUGGACACAGCCAUUUCCUCCAUGACAACGCUUGAUGGGAACUUAUACGGUUGCAGAGAUACCCUCUCAUAACCAUGUCUAACUGCAGGGCUGGCCAUGGAAGUCUGUAGCAUCUAGAUGUUCUGGGAGGAGCCCUACACCCCCCCCCCCCAAAUCUUUAUGAAUAACAGCAGAUAGCAUGGAAGGAGAAUAGCCCAGCUAGGGAAAAGAGAUGAGCCCUUUUCUUUUACAGUGCAACUUCCUUACAUCCUACAAGAUCCUUUCAUUCCUCAAACAGAACCAACUGUAGAUGUUCUUGAAGAUGCCACCAUCCCCUUUUCUCCAGUCGGAAACCACGUGGCCGCUUUAGAACUCCUCUUGUACCUGAGAACUUCAACUUCCGGGGGGUUGAGGACAACAACCAUGGGCUUCGAACGCAUCACGCACAAUAGGUGGAACUGCCCUCGUUGUAAUGGGCCAGGGAGAGGGACAAUUGACCAGCAAGAAGAAUGACCCGUGUAGCUGGACUGAGCACAGAGGCUUUCUGCUCUCAAGCUCUUGCUCUGGGGCGGGGGGGAGAGAAUGGAGAGAUGGGGAAGAUCAUAUUUCAUCCUUUUUUUCCUCAUUUGGAAAAGGUGGAGAAACCUUCCCUGCAAGAACAACCUGGCAUGAUAAGAGGAAAAAAAAAACAAUCUUUUUACGGUCAGAGAUCAGCAGAAAAAAAAGUGGGGGGGGAUUUUUUUUAACUGAACUGCUACUCUUCCUGCAGAAUAAAUUGUGAAUUUUU
Thamnophis sirtalis is the source of this 1314-nucleotide non-coding RNA. The record is from RefSeq and is a predicted model, not a curated record. NCBI's taxonomy places the organism in Eukaryota, Metazoa, Chordata, Lepidosauria, Squamata, Natricidae.